GAAGCGAACGCGGUGAACUGAAACAUCUAAGUAACCGCAGGAAAAGAAAUCAACCGAGAUUCCCAAAGUAGUGGCGAGCGAAAUGGGAUGAGCCUUGCACUCUUUAUUUGUAUUGUUAGCCGAACGCUCUGGAAAGUGCGGCCAUAGCAGGUGAUAGCCCUGUAGGCGAAAACAGUAUGAAAGAACUAGGUGUGCGACAAGUAGGGCGGGACACGUGAAAUCCUGUCUGAAGAUGGGGGGACCAUCCUCCAAGGCUAAAUACUCGUGAUCGACCGAUAGUGAACCAGUACCGUGAGGGAAAGGCGAAAAGAACCCCGGGAGGGGAGUGAAAUAGAUCCUGAAACCGCAUGCAUACAAACAGUCGGAGCCUCGUAAGGGGUGACGGCGUACCUUUUGUAUAAUGGGUCAGCGACUUACGUUCAGUAGCAAGCUUAACCGUAUAGGGCAGGCGUAGCGAAAGCGAGUCCGAAUAGGGCGUUCAGUUGCUGGGCGUAGACCCGAAACCAGGUGAUCUAUCCAUGGCCAGGAUGAAGGUGCGGUAACACGUACUGGAGGUCCGAACCCACUAACGUUGAAAAGUUAGGGGAUGAGCUGUGGAUAGGGGUGAAAGGCUAAACAAACCUGGAAAUAGCUGGUUCUCUCCGAAAACUAUUUAGGUAGUGCCUCGUGUCUCACCUUCGGGGGUAGAGCACUGUCAUGGUUGGGGGGUCUAUUGCAGAUUACCCCGCCAUAGCAAACUCCGAAUACCGAAGAGUGCAAUCACGGGAGACAGACAUCGGGUGCUAACGUCCGGUGUCAAGAGGGAAACAACCCAGACCGCCAGCUAAGGUCCCCAAAUAUAGCUAAGUGGGAAACGAAGUGGGAAGGCUAAAACAGUCAGGAGGUUGGCUUAGAAGCAGCCACCCUUUAAAGAAAGCGUAAUAGCUCACUGAUCGAGUCGUCCUGCGCGGAAGAUGUAACGGGGCUAAGCUAUAUACCGAAGCUGCGGAUGCGUGCUUGCACGCAUGGUAGGAGAGCGUUCCGUAAGCCUGCGAAGGUGCCUUGUAAAGGGUGCUGGAGGUAUCGGAAGUGCGAAUGCUGACAUGAGUAGCGAUAAAGGGGGUGAAAGGCCCCCUCGCCGUAAGCCCAAGGUUUCCUACGCAACGUUCAUCGGCGUAGGGUGAGUCGGCCCCUAAGGCGAGGCAGAAAUGCGUAGCUGAUGGGAAGCAGGUCAAUAUUCCUGCACCAUUGUUAGAUGCGAUGGGGGGACGGAUCGCGGAAGGUUGUCCGGGUGUUGGAAGUCCCGGUCGCUGCAUUGGAGAAGGCGCUUAGGCAAAUCCGGGCGCGUAAUUCAAGGGUGUGGUGCGAGCUCCUUCGGGAGCGAAGCAAUUGGAAGUGGUUCCAAGAAAAGCCUCUAAGCUUCAGUCUAACGAUGACCGUACCGCAAACCGACACAGGUGGGCGAGAUGAGUAUUCUAAGGCGCUUGAGAGAACUCGGGAGAAGGAACUCGGCAAAUUGGUACCGUAACUUCGGGAUAAGGUACGCCCUUGUAGCUUGACCAGCCUGCGCUGGAAGGGUGAAGGGGUUGCAAUAAACUGGUGGCUGCGACUGUUUAAUAAAAACACAGCACUCUGCAAACACGAAAGUGGACGUAUAGGGUGUGACGCCUGCCCGGUGCCGGAAGAUUAAAUGAUGGGGUGCAAGCUCUUGAUUGAAGUCCCGGUAAACGGCGGCCGUAACUAUAACGGUCCUAAGGUAGCGAAAUUCCUUGUCGGGUAAGUUCCGACCUGCACGAAUGGCGUAACGAUGGCCACACUGUCUCCUCCCGAGACUCAGCGAAGUUGAAGUGUUUGUGAUGAUGCAAUCUACCCGCGGCUAGACGGAAAGACCCCAUGAACCUUUACUGUAGCUUUGCAUUGGACUUUGAACCGAUCUGUGUAGGAUAGGUGGGAGGCUAUGAAACCGGAACGCUAGUUUCGGUGGAGCCGUCCUUGAAAUACCACCCUGGUUUGUUUGAGGUUCUAACCUUGGCCCGUGAUCCGGGUCGGGGACAGUGCAUGGUAGGCAGUUUGACUGGGGCGGUCUCCUCCCAAAGCGUAACGGAGGAGUACGAAGGUACGCUAGGUACGGUCGGAAAUCGUGCUGAUAGUGCAAUGGCAUAAGCGUGCUUAACUGCGAGACCGACAAGUCGAGCAGGUGCGAAAGCAGGUCAUAGUGAUCCGGUGGUUCUGUAUGGAAGGGCCAUCGCUCAACGGAUAAAAGGUACUCUGGGGAUAACAGGCUGAUACCGCCCAAGAGUUCAUAUCGACGGCGGUGUUUGGCACCUCGAUGUCGGCUCAUCUCAUCCUGGGGCUGUAGCCGGUCCCAAGGGUAUGGCUGUUCGCCAUUUAAAGAGGUACGUGAGCUGGGUUUAAAACGUCGUGAGACAGUUUGGUCCCUAUCUGCCGUGGGCGUUGGAUAUUUGAAGGGGGCUGCUCCUAGUACGAGAGGACCGGAGUGGACGAACCUCUGGUGUACCGGUUGUCACGCCAGUGGCAUCGCCGGGUAGCUAUGUUCGGAAGAGAUAACCGCUGAAAGCAUCUAAGCGGGAAACUCGCCUUAAGAUGAGAUAUCCCUGGGGACUAGAUCCCCUUGAAGGGUCGUUCGAGACCAGGACGUUGAUAGGUCAGGUGUGUAAGCGCAGUAAUGCGUUCAGCUAACUGAUACUAAUUGCCCGUAAGGCUUGAUCCUAUAACA
This 2716-nucleotide ribosomal RNA is filed under the name Burkholderia cenocepacia. RNAcentral's name for it is "bacterial LSU rRNA". It matches the Rfam family "Bacterial large subunit ribosomal RNA". Lineage: Bacteria; Pseudomonadati; Pseudomonadota; Betaproteobacteria; Burkholderiales; Burkholderiaceae. The record is from RNAcentral.